Molecule: ribosomal RNA, 460 nt
Filed under: uncultured bacterium
Lineage: Bacteria
Description: partial 16S ribosomal RNA
Rfam family: Bacterial small subunit ribosomal RNA
Source: RNAcentral
CCUACGGGAGGCUGCAGUGAGGAAUAUUGGUCAAUGGACGAGAGUCUGAACCAGCCAAGUAGCGUGAAGGAUGACUGCCCUAUGGGUUGUAAACUUCUUUUAUAUGGGAAUAAAAUGUUCCACGUGUGGGAUUUUGUAUGUACCAUAUGAAUAAGGAUCGGCUAACUCCGUGCCAGUAGCCGCGGUAAUACGGAGGAUCCGAGCGUUAUCCGGAUUUAUUGGGUUUAAAGGGAGCGUAGGUGGAUUGUUAAGUCAGUUGUGAAAGUUUGCGGCUCAACCGUAAAAUUGCAGUUGAAACUGGCAGUCUUGAGUACAGUAGAGGUGGGCGGAAUUCGUGGUGUAGCGGUGAAAUGCUUAGAUAUCAGGAGGAACAUCGGUGGCGUAAGCGCUUUACUGGGCCGUAAUUGACGCUGAGGAACGAAAGCCAGGGUAGCAAAUGGGAUUAGAUACCCUUGUAGUC